CUGUGGUGAGGAUCCCUGCCCCCCUUCGGCGGGGGCCCCCUCACAAUGUCUCCCAGACACCCACACAUCCAUCCAUUUGUUGCCCCUUCCUCUCCACCACCGUUUCCUCUGGCCCCUCGGGGCUGAGCCCAGGCACAGGAGCCCCUUUCCCGGGGGGGCUUCCUGCUACUCUCCUCCCCAAAUAAGAGCUUGGACUCGGGGACCUCCUCUGUGGCCCUGGAACAAAACUGCGGUGGUGUCGGUGGAGCUGGGGGUGUCGGGGUCAGAGGAAACCCCACCCAUCUUUGGGGCCCUAGCACCUGGCAGGAAGGAGGGAAGGGGGACGGAGGGCAAGAGGGAGCAGCAGGGUAGACGGAGGCGAAGCCGGGAGACAUGAGGACCGAAACCCUGGGCUGGAUAGGAGACCUUGGAGCAGGUGGCAGACAUCGGGUGUUAUCAAGGGGGCGCAGAGAGCCCGGCCCAGGGAGGAAACUCGGGGACGGUGGCAGGCUCACCACACAGUGGAGUCUGGAGGACGAUGAGGAGGCCGCCCGGGAGCGACGCCGGCGGGAGAGGGACAGGCGGCUGCAGGACCAGGACGAGGACCACGGCGGCCUGUCCUCAGAGCCCCCGGAGCAGGAGAAGCUCCUGAAGGCCUCCGAGGCCCCUGAGCAGGAGGAGGAUGAGGGCUUUGCCGACUGGUGCCAGAAGCCAGAGCCGCGGCCACAGCACUGCAGGGCUGAGGAGCCCCCCGAGGCAGAGAGCACAGAGGGGGACCAGGAGGCGGACAGGCCCCUUGAGAACCAGGAUGACGACCAGGCGAGCCCAGCCACAGUCUGCCUGGAAGGGCUGCAUCUGCACCCCAGCUCAGAGUCCCAGGAGGAGCCGGGACCAGAGGCGACCAUCCAGGACAGCCUGGCGCCAGUGGAGGCUGAGGACGCAGAUGAGCAGGAAUGUCAGCAGCCCAGGACGCCCAGCCCCUUGGUCUUGGAGGAGACGACCGAACAUAGCUCGCCUCCCCUGAGCCCCAGCACCAAACUCAUCGACAGAACCGAGUCCCUGAACCGCUCCAUCAAGAAGAGUAACAGUGUGAAGAAGUCCCAGCCAGCCCUGCCCAUCUCCAAGAUUGACGAGCGGCUAGAGCAGUACACCCAGGCCGUCGAGACCGCUGGCCGGACCUCCAAGCUAGUUCGUCAGCCCUCCAUCGAGUUGCCCAGCAUGGCUGUGGCAAGCACCAAGAGCCGGUGGGAGACAGGAGAGGUGCAAGCUCAUUCUGCUGCCAAGGGCCCCUCCUGCAAGGAUAUUGUAGCUGGAGACAUGAGCAAGAAAACCCUCUGGGAGCAGAAAGGAGGCUCCAAGACUUCGUCCACAGUUAAGAGCACCCCGUCUGGGAAGAGGUACAAGUUUGUGGCCACCGGGCAUGGGAAGUACGAGAAGGUGCUCAUGGAUGAGGGCUCAGAGCCCUAGGCCACCCUUCUUGCCCUUCAGAUGUGCCCCCACCGCCAUCUGACAUCAAACCCUGUUCCUUCCAAGACCUCGGCCCGUCUCAGCCAUUCUCUGAGGGGGGAGCUCAAACCUCCCUCCUGGGAAGAGGCUACAUGUCCCGUCUGGGCUCCUUAGGCAGGAGCUCCGUGCCCCUAACCCAUCAGCCUCACAGUUCACGGCCCAGAGCGUCCAGAGGCUGAGCCCGGCCUGCCUCCCUGCCCGCCAGGCUGGAGACAGGGCCAGGCCCUCCACGCCAGGUCAGUCUGUCCAGCCGUCUGCCUCGCAGUAGACUCGGGUGCUUCUCACAGAGCUUCACGCACCCUGUGAGCCCCCACGCUCUGCACACAGGAAACGCCUCCUCCCUGUCCCUCCUGCUGCCAGCCUCGCCCCACCACCCACCCUGCCCCUCCAUGCUCCGUCCACCGGACCUGUCCCUCCUGACUGCCCAGCCACCCCCAGGUUUCCUCAGUGCUCAGCGGGCCCCUCCCAGGUCCGUCGGGCCCUGCUGGACCUUCAGCCCCCCUCUGUCCACGCCACAGUCCUAGGCCCUACGGCCGCCCCGCCGGCCAUUCACCGGAACCUCCAGCCGGUUGCCGUCCGGUUGAAGUUCUUGGGCUGGGGGCUCAGCUCCAAGACCGAGGGGAUGGUCGGGGGGGCCCGGGUGGCCACUUCCUGCAGCUUCCGGGCGUUGAAGUGGGGCCGGUACAGGAAAGGCAGGCGGCUGAGGCUGGCCAGGGAGCGCCCCUCGUCCCUGGGCCCCUCAGGGCCACCACCGCGGGACUCGGCCACCGACACGCGCUCCCCUGAUGCAAACCGGCGGCUCCCUGCACACUCCCAAUCCAGGCUCCCAGGGGAGAGUCCGGCACACGUCCACCCCCAGCCCUGCCGAGGAAGCUGCUUCCCGGUGCCCACCUGGCUGCCCACGCCCCUCCAACGCCUGCCACUGCUGCCACCUCUAUCCCUGGACCCUCCCCCCUCUCCUCCCUCCUGCUCCCUGAGCCCCUGGGCUCUGCCUCUCAUGGCCCAAGGAGGAAAGGGACUCUCACCGAUGCUUGGCUAAAGGGACCGUCCCCACAAAGGCCAAGGGCUCAAAAGGAAGGCGCAGCCUGUGCAGACUCCCAGCCGAGACCACCAAUGCCCACGCUGGGUGCUCAGGCCCUUGUCCCGCCCUGCACCCUGCUUGCAGCCCCUCCGUUCGGUGUAAUAAAGCUCUUCCUGACCCAC
Hipposideros armiger (great roundleaf bat) is the source of this 2688-nucleotide RNA transcript. It is a transcript of the gene named lymphocyte specific protein 1, with no coding region annotated. The transcript is spliced from 13 exons. NCBI's taxonomy places the organism in Eukaryota, Metazoa, Chordata, Mammalia, Chiroptera, Hipposideridae. The record is from RefSeq and is a predicted model, not a curated record.